This is a non-coding RNA of Cherax quadricarinatus, 264 nucleotides long. Lineage: Eukaryota; Metazoa; Arthropoda; Malacostraca; Decapoda; Parastacidae. The record is from RefSeq and is a predicted model, not a curated record.
GUCGCUAGGAGACCUCCAGCUAGCAGUCUCACCCACCUCCAUCCAGGUACGAAGGCCUAGACAAAGUCAUCAGCACUGCUGCUAGGAGACCUCUAUCUAGCAGUCUCACCCACCUCCAUCCAGGUUGUGGAAGACGGCAGGAGAGUUGAGAUAGGUUGGUCAGACGGACACCUGGGUACCUACCCAGCCUCCUGGCUCCACCAAUGUGCAUUCAAUACUCACCAUCUCAACCUCAGAGCCGAAACAGUAAGGAUGAAACAGAAG